UGAAGAUGUGUGGACAGAGGUAUACACUCUGGGACACACUGUGACGUGUUACAGCUCCCACGAUGAGAUGUUUUCUAGGCUGUUUUGGGAAAGACACAAGGAGAAAAGACAGCCUUCAAGUGAAUAGCAUUGGUCAGGAUUGGGAAGAUUCAAGUCUAGACUCACUUAGGACAUAGGUCCGGGAUGAGUGAAUGCAGGAGGUCGGCCAAAACACAGCCCGGUGACUCAAUUCUUAAAUGAUUUACAAUGAACAUAACUCCAGAGACUUAUGCUGAAUAAAUACCCCCAUUUAAUAAGUAUUAAGGAGAGAGGUAAGGCAGAAGGGCCAAGGCAGGGGGUGGGGAGCCAGCUGCUCCUGUUGAUCUCCCCACCUCAGUUUCCCUGUGCAGGACGGGGCUGCUCAUGAACGGAUUUGAGAAGUGAGUGCAAGUGACUUGGAAAAUUCCUCAUCAAAACCAAUU
Molecule: long non-coding RNA, 461 nt
Organism: Mus musculus (house mouse)
Lineage: Eukaryota; Metazoa; Chordata; Mammalia; Rodentia; Muridae
Product: predicted gene, 51404
Exons: 3
Source: RefSeq, a predicted model, not a curated record